AGAGUUUGAUCCUGGCUCAGGAUGAACGCUGGCGGCGUGCUUAACACAUGCAAGUCGAACGGAGUUAUUUCAUUGGAAGGGAACAGUUUACUGGGACCGGAAGAGGGGAUAACUUAGUGGCGGACGGGUGAGUAACGCGUGGGUAACCUGCCGUAUACAGGGGGAUAACACUUAGAAAUAGGUGCUAAAACCGCAUAAGCGCACAGUGCCGCAUGGCACCGUGUGAAAAACUCCGGUGGUAUACGAUGGACCCGCGUCUGAUUAGCCAGUUGGCAGGGUAACGGCCUACCAAAGCGACGAUCAGUAGCCGGCCUGAGAGGGUGGACGGCCACAUUGGGACUGAGACACGGCCCAAACUCCUACGGGAGGCAGCAGUGGGGAAUAUUGCACAAUGGGGGAAACCCUGAUGCAGCGACGCCGCGUGAGUGAAGAAGUAUUUCGGUAUGUAAAGCUCUAUCAGCAGGGAAGAAACGGAACUAAAGUUCCGAGGACGGUACCUGAGUAAGAAGCCCCGGCUAACUACGUGCCAGCAGCCGCGGU
RNAcentral lists this ribosomal RNA (540 nucleotides) under uncultured Gram-positive bacterium. RNAcentral describes it as "bacterial SSU rRNA". It matches the Rfam family "Bacterial small subunit ribosomal RNA", at positions 8 to 521 of the family's 1533-position model. The record is from RNAcentral.